CAACUGUCAAAUCUGAGAAUGGGGAAGACGAGAUGAGUCCAGCUCCAGCCAGCAUCUGGAUAUAACAACAUGACAGACCCGGUGUUAUUACAACCAAGAUGAAUCCCAGUCAAACUCAAGAAGCAUGAGAAAGACUACUGACUGCUGUCAUUGUUUUUAGUUCAACAACUUGGGAGAGGUUAACAAAAGUCUCUGAGAUGCAACUCCAAAUCUUCAAAAGAGAAAUACCAAAGUGUUCGUAUUUUGGCUUACUUUCAUGCCAUAAAUAAAUUCAUUACUAGACACCACUCCUGACACACGAAUGCAC
Molecule: long non-coding RNA, 307 nt
Organism: Neofelis nebulosa (Clouded leopard)
Lineage: Eukaryota; Metazoa; Chordata; Mammalia; Carnivora; Felidae
Exons: 3
Source: RefSeq, a predicted model, not a curated record